AACAUAUAACUAGUUUCUUAAAGUUAUUAAGAAAUUUAAUUUCUUGAUAUUUAUAGAAACAAACUUAUUUAUUUUAGAACUUGGUGACUUGAACAUCUGUAAAACCAAUGUGCUUUGAAAUGAAUUCAUAUGUGAAUGCCUUAGAUUCAAUGUGCCUUAAAUCUUGAGUCAUUUUCAUUGGAGGCAAAGAAUACUUAACUCUAUGGCCCUAAGGACAGUGGGGGACAAGUCACUUGAGUGGCAUCUGCCACUUCAGGACAUAUAAAGGUGCAAGAAUGUUCUAGCCUUUCCACUUUCCCCUAUUCUGUGGUUACUUGAUUUAAUUUCCUUUCUCAGAAGUUCUUUUGGUAUUUAGGAGAUCGUUGAAAAAGCCAUGACCUCUUUCAUCUGAUACAUAACCAAGACUCUCAACACAGAUCCAUAGUUGGUAUAGACAAGUUUUGGUUUAUAUGGUUUUU
RNAcentral lists this long non-coding RNA (458 nucleotides) under Pan troglodytes (chimpanzee). Its description in RNAcentral is "long non-coding RNA NONPTRT005145". Lineage: Eukaryota; Metazoa; Chordata; Mammalia; Primates; Hominidae. The record is from RNAcentral.